RNAcentral lists this unclassified non-coding RNA (334 nucleotides) under soil metagenome. Its description in RNAcentral is "partial contains 5.8S ribosomal RNA, internal transcribed spacer 2, and large subunit ribosomal RNA". The stretch from base 1 to 120 matches the Rfam family "5.8S ribosomal RNA", at positions 35 to 154 of the family's 154-position model. The record is from RNAcentral.
GAUGAAGAACGCAGCGAAAUGCGAUAAGUAGUGUGAAUUGCAGAAUUCAGUGAAUCAUCGAAUCUUUGAACGCACAUUGCGCCCCUUGGUAUUCCAUGGGGCAUGCCUGUUCGAGCGUCAUUUGUACCUUCAAGCUCUGCUUGGUGUUGGGUGUUUGUCCUUGCUCUAGUGGCGGGACUCGCCUUAAAGUAAUUGGCAGCCAGUGUUUUGGUUUUGAAGCGCAGCACAAGUCGCGAUUCAAGUCUAUACGCUAGUUUCCACAAGUCUUUUAUCACUUUUGACCUCGGAUCAGGUAGGGAUACCCGCUGAACUUAAGCAUAUCAAAAGCGGAGGA